RNAcentral lists this long non-coding RNA (1471 nucleotides) under Felis catus (domestic cat). RNAcentral describes it as "lncRNA (ENSFCAG00000051470.1)". Lineage: Eukaryota; Metazoa; Chordata; Mammalia; Carnivora; Felidae. The record is from RNAcentral.
AUGUGCCAAGACUCAAGAGCUACCUCCUCUGUGAAGCCCUCCGUGACCACCAGCCCCAUCCCAUCCCAAGCUCUCCUUUGUGCUUCCUCUGCCCCGUAUGGACUUCUUGCUGCCCUGUGUAAAACUGCUAAGCGUCCAUAUACUAACGUGUCUGUCUCCAGCUUCCUGUGGAGCUCAGACAAUUUACCUGGCCUCUCCAAGCCUCCUUUUUUCAUAAAGAUGAUCGCUCUGAGGACUGGUGUCGGGAUGAAAAAGAUCGUGUGUGUAAUCUUGACAUAUAAUCAUAGGCACCUGGCACGUCAUAAUUUCUCUGUCAAAAUCGUAUGGGGUCCGCUAUCGUCGCAACACUCGGGAUGGCUCGUAUUUUUCAGCUGCCACAUGUGGUGGGCAGAUAGUCGCGACUCAGUAAAAACGAAGUCUGGCUUUCCAGCACGAGAGCAGGGAUCUGCUUUGCAUUCGUCCAAAGCAUGACGAUCACUGAGGCAGUCUGGUAUCGUGGUGAAUCCCCCUGAACCUCUCCUGUCUAUACCAAUACUCCUGCACAGUCUCCUACUACGAGUCUGGGCUGGACCAUAUGUCCUUUUGACCACAGGGACCUUAACAAGCCUGUGCAAGACGCGAUAAGCUCUUACACAUCAGGGUCUUGUCUUCUUGGAAGGCUGCUGCUUGGAACGCAGUCACCAUGUCAAGAGGAAGCCGAAGCUGGCCACAAGGAGGGUGGCCCCCAGCGACGGCGCCCAUCCCCGCUGAGGCCCCAGGCUCGUGAGAGAAACCGCCAUCUCGCAGCAGGUGCCACGCGGAGCAGAAAUGAGCCAAACUGCACAAUCCCAAGCAAACAGAUGAGCCUUGUCGUUUUAAGCCUCUAGGUUUGAGGGUGGUCUGGAACACAGCAAGUAAUGGCCCAGUGGGACAGGUGUAGAGAGUGCACGUCAGUGACACGCGGGGUGGGGUGAGCUGCUGGCUUGGGGACCCACCAGGUAAAAACAAAAAACAAAAAAACAAAAAAAACAAAAAACAAAAAGAACUUCAGGAUCAGCUGGUAGACGUGACUGUCUAACCUGCAACCCCAUCUCGGGGGGGUGGGGGGGACUCUUCCUUGGGAACCCAAUUCCCAGGUCCUCCGGGGAUCGUGACUGGUUAAGGAUGACUUUGGCUUAAACAAUGCAAAGUUGCCCAGGCUCCAACGAUAAGACGCCCAGAGGCGGCGGCUUCCGGCCAGGGGGAUGGGGCAGCUCAGCGAGGUCGCGGACAACCCACAUUGUGCCGCGGCGGCUUCGAUUCCCCCCACCCCGCUCCCAGACUCGCUGCCAGCUGCAGUCUGCCCUGCGUCUUCCUCCCUCUACACAGCGGCGCGAGAGAGGGAUGUUCCCCCCAGCUCUCCCGGGGCAGAGAAAAGAAUUUCCCAGAGGGCUCCGCGCGCUCCCACUUCUCCUUGCUUCUCAUUGGCCCAAACUGAGUCAUACGCCCAUUU